Triticum aestivum (bread wheat) is the source of this 74-nucleotide non-coding RNA. Lineage: Eukaryota; Viridiplantae; Streptophyta; Magnoliopsida; Poales; Poaceae. The record is from Rfam.
GGUCCUGUAGCUUAGUUGGUUAGAGUGUCGGUCUGAUAUACCAAAGGUCAUGGGUUCAAGCUCCAUCGGGACCA